This 253-nucleotide ribosomal RNA is filed under the name uncultured bacterium. Its description in RNAcentral is "partial 16S ribosomal RNA". It matches the Rfam family "Bacterial small subunit ribosomal RNA", at positions 524 to 776 of the family's 1533-position model. The record is from RNAcentral.
UACGUGGGUGGCAAGCGUUGUCCGGAUUUACUGGGCGUAAAGGGCGCGUAGGCGGUCUAUUAAGUUGGAUGUGAAAACUCUGGGCUUAACCCAGAGCCUGCAUUCAAAACUGAUAGGCUGGAGUUCUGGAGGGGAUAGCGGAAUUCCUGGUGUAGCGGUGAAAUGCGUAGAUAUCAGGAGGAACACCGGUGGCGAAGGCGGCUAUCUGGACAGAAACUGACGCUGAGGCGCGAAAGCUAGGGGAGCAAACAGG